Long non-coding RNA from Oncorhynchus tshawytscha (Chinook salmon), 1186 nucleotides. RefSeq lists it as uncharacterized. The record is from RefSeq and is a predicted model, not a curated record. The transcript has 4 exons. Lineage: Eukaryota; Metazoa; Chordata; Actinopteri; Salmoniformes; Salmonidae.
AACGAUGAUAUUAUUAGCUAACUAGCUACAGUGCAGGCUAACUCAAAUGAGAUAAUACAUGAGCUAUCUAGACAACUUCAAAUACUGCAUAGAUAGCUAGCUAAGUGAAUUAAAUAUCACCAGCUACCUAACUUCAUAUUAGCUAGCUAUCUUGAUGUAUUUAUCACUGUAAAAAACAAACUCCAAAUGCAUUUGUAGGUAGCUAGCUAACAGCCAUGGAGGAGGGUGAAAGGAUAGCAGCCCCAACUGUCAGUGAGAGAGGAUACGGCAGGUACUUUUGUGUAGUUCCUGGCCCUACAAGUGAGGACGGAGAUACUAGGAACAAAAUAUUCAGUGUGGUGUAAUUUGACUAGAAUGAAGUCUGUUUCUUGUGAGGUUUUCUAUCCUCAGAUAAAGAGCGCUACGAAAGCCAGUCUACAUAUGAAGAGGUCCCAAUGAAGAGCAGUGGUUCUCAGUCCUGGGGACUCAAAGAGGCACAUUGUUGUUUUUGCCUCAGCACUGCACAGCUGAUUCAAAUGACCAACUCAUCAUCAAACUUCAAGUGCUAUUUAUGUAUUCAUUUGUGGUGCUAUCCUUGAUAUGAUCCUGUUAUUGUCACAUGCUACACAUGUACAUAUGUGUGUCCAUGCAUCUAUCAAUCCAAUGUUGUCAUGAUUAUCAGGGAUAUGAUACUUUAGUAAUCCACAAUGACCUGGUGAUGUAACAGUCUAAUAAUUACAUUGUCUUCCAUAUUCCUACAGAUACCUUGUAACUGGAGAUUCCUUCUAAACGAUUGCCUACAGUUACCGUGUAGGGCGCGGCAAGGUUGGGUGACCAGGGUCUUCUGGGACUGCCUCCUGAAGGAAUUCAGGUGUGUGAAGGCUACCGUGAAGAAUAGUUAUAUCAGCUGUGUCAGUGAACCCCUCCUUCAUCUGAACUGGCUACAUAGAGGGCACAGCAUGAUCAGAUGUGAGCGGUCACUUGGUCAGGAACGUUCACUGAUUAACACUACUGCACGGUUUCUCUCCUGUGUGUAUUCUCCCUUGUGAUAUCAGGGUGCUUACUCAGAGCAGCAAUGAGAUUUCUUUCCCGUGGGUCUCUGCUGGUGUUUCUUGAGGAAUUCUGAUCUGGAGCGACUCUUCUCUGCCUUGUCAGCAUCAUGAGGUUGUUGAGUCUCCCAAGAGGACCCAUGGUAGUCAGUUCUCUC